Molecule: ribosomal RNA, 207 nt
Filed under: uncultured bacterium
Lineage: Bacteria
Description: partial 16S ribosomal RNA
Rfam family: Bacterial small subunit ribosomal RNA
Source: RNAcentral
CGUGCAGGCGGUUCGGUAAGUUGGACGUGAAAGCUCCCGGCUCAACUGGGAGAGGUCGUUCAAUACUGUCGGACUUGAGGAUGGUAGAGGGAGGUGGAAUUCCGGGUGUAGUGGUGAAAUGCGCAGAUAUCCGGAGGAACACCAGUGGCGAAAGCGGCCUCCUGGACCAUUCCUGACGCUCAGACGCGAAAGCUAGGGUAGCGAACG